This 655-nucleotide ribosomal RNA is filed under the name uncultured bacterium. Its description in RNAcentral is "bacterial SSU rRNA". It matches the Rfam family "Bacterial small subunit ribosomal RNA", at positions 171 to 824 of the family's 1533-position model. The record is from RNAcentral.
GCAUAACAUAUUUUUAUGGCAUCGUAGAAAUAUCAAAUAUUUAUAGGAUUAAGAUGGGCAUGCGGAACAUUAGCUAGUUGGUAAGGUAACGGCUUACCAAGGCUACGAUGUUUAGGGGAUCUGAGAGGAUGACCCCCCACACUGGUACUGAGACACGGACCAGACUCCUACGGGAGGCAGCAGUAAGGAAUAUUGGUCAAUGGGCGCAAGCCUGAACCAGCCAUGCCGCGUGCAGGAAGACGGCCCUAUGGGUUGUAAACUGCUUUUGUACCGGAAUAAACCCUUUUACGAGUAGAAGGCUGAAUGUACGGUAAGAAUAAGGAUCGGCUAACUCCGUGCCAGCAGCCGCGGUAAUACGGAGGAUCCAAGCGUUAUCCGGAUUUAUUGGGUUUAAAGGGUGCGUAGGCGGCCAAUUAAGUCAGGGGUGAAAGACGGUAGCUUAACUAUCGCAGUGCCUUUGAUACUGAUUGGCUUGAAUCCACUUGAGGUAGGCGGAAUGUGACAAGUAGCGGUGAAAUGCAUAGAUAUGUCACAGAACACCAAUUGCGAAGGCAGCUUACUAAAGUGGCAUUGACGCUGAGGCACGAAAGCGUGGGGAGCAAACAGGAUUAGAUACCCUGGUAGUCCACGCCGUAAACGAUGAUAACUAGCUGUC